RNAcentral lists this ribosomal RNA (816 nucleotides) under Triticum aestivum (bread wheat). RNAcentral describes it as "partial small subunit ribosomal RNA". The record is from RNAcentral. Lineage: Eukaryota; Viridiplantae; Streptophyta; Magnoliopsida; Poales; Poaceae.
AUGCCAGUACAAUUGCCUAUUUUUGUUUACAUCCAUGGGGCAAAAAUUGACCGGUUUGUUAAUGAUGACGGAGGUCCAAUUUUUUUAAAAAUAAAUGGUCAGGUUUGUCAUCGUAUAGGCUCGUUGCUUCCAAAUGAAGGUGAUACACCCAAGUAUGCAGAGUUAUACAUACAUGACAGAUAAAAUGAGGUUAACCACAGAAUUCAGGCCCUAAAUCACCAUGAUGAAACAUGCACUGGGUUAGAUAAGGACACUGUGAGGGGUCUUAUGCAAAUGCUUGAUACAAAUAAUUCUUUAGUCAAAAAAUUUCGUAUGGCUGCAGAGAUAUUGAAACAAAAUAAACAUGAGGUGAUCUCAAUAAGGCUUAUAGCUCCUGGCGAGAAUGAUAGCCCUCAGUUUAGUUUACCGGCGACAGAUGAGCUGGCAGCUUUGGUUUAUGUCAAGUUCACAUUAGAGGCACCGUGUCGAGAUCUGAUAACAUGGACUAAAGGCAACAAGCUGCACCAUAUUUCUUCUUUAGGUACUAAUUACAUGUCCUUGCAAUACCCUUUGCUGUUUCAAUAUGGUGAGCGUGGUUUUCAGCUGAGUGUGCACUACAUCGGUGCUGAUAUUGAUUACCCGAACAAGAGGGUGAAAAUGACCAUGUAAGAUUAUUAUUGCUUUUGUUCACAUUAUAAACCAAACCAACACAAUCCAUAUCUUUGCUGUGGCCUGUUAUCAUCACAGGCUGCUGUUGACUUCCGUGCUUGCAUUGAUGAGUGUCGUCUUAAUUUUAUUCUUAAGUGUAACGAUGAAAUGCGGGUUGAAAAUAUUUAG